UCUGUUCAUAUAUCAUAUGUGGGGCUUUUUUCAGGUUAAAACACUCAUAUUGCUGAGAUAAAUAGAUUAGUGUAAUUUGCUUUGGUGCCUAAAACUUUUGCACAGUUCUGUAUAUAUUUUAAAAAGCUAUAGUGUAAUUCCUCCAUUCAUCCACAGUUAAACACUGUGUUCUGAUUGGUCAAGAAACACAUCACUCCUCUCUCUUCAACCUGUAAAAAGCCUUUCAGCACUUCCUCCUAUAGUGAGGAACUGAUCCAGUUUAAACCGGUUUAAAGUGAAAGUGAAAUCUUCAGCAGCUUCUGUUUAGAUGAGAGAAGAUGAUGAAGAGCGUUUGGAUAAAAAGCACAGAGGAUUAGGUGUAAUCUGAAGGAGGAAGAUGAGCUCCAAAAUGAGCGUCUCUGGGGAGCAGCACACACAGGAAGCUGGGAGG
Long non-coding RNA from Astyanax mexicanus (Mexican tetra), 430 nucleotides. RefSeq lists it as uncharacterized. The transcript is spliced from 2 exons. Lineage: Eukaryota; Metazoa; Chordata; Actinopteri; Characiformes; Acestrorhamphidae. The record is from RefSeq and is a predicted model, not a curated record.